Molecule: ribosomal RNA, 301 nt
Filed under: uncultured bacterium
Lineage: Bacteria
Description: partial 16S ribosomal RNA
Rfam family: Bacterial small subunit ribosomal RNA
Source: RNAcentral
CAGUCGCCGCGGGAAUACCGAGGGUGCAAGCGUUAAUCGGAAUUACUGGGCGUAAAGCGCGCGUAGGUGGUUUGUUAAGUUGGAUGUGAAAUCCCCGGGCUCAACCUGGGAACUGCAUCCAAAACUGGCAAGCUAGAGUAUGGUAGAGGGUGGUGGAAUUUCCUGUGUAGCGGUGAAAUGCGUAGAUAUAGGAAGGAACACCAGUGGCGAAGGCGACCACCUGGACUGAUACUGACACUGAGGUGCGAAAGCGUGGGGAGCAAACAGGAUUAGAUACCCCCGUAGUCCCUGUCUCUUAUAC